RNAcentral lists this ribosomal RNA (467 nucleotides) under uncultured bacterium. RNAcentral describes it as "partial 16S ribosomal RNA". It matches the Rfam family "Bacterial small subunit ribosomal RNA", at positions 28 to 507 of the family's 1533-position model. The record is from RNAcentral.
GAUGAACGCUGGCGGCGUGCUUAACACAUGCAAGUCGAACGGAAAGGCUCCUGCUUGCCGGGGUACUCGAGUGGCGCACGGGUGAGUAACACGUGUGUGAUCUGCCCCGCACUUCGGGAUAAGCCUGGGGAACUGGGUCUAAUACCGGAUAUGACAGUGGUUUGGAUGCCGUUGUGGAGAGAUUUGUCGGUGUGGGGUGAGCUCGCGGCCUAUCCGCUUGUUAGUGGGGUAAUGGCCUACCAAGGCGUCGGCGGGUAGCCGGCCUGAGAGGGUGUACGGCCACAUUGGGUCCUAGAGAAGGCCCAGACACCGACGGGAGGGAGCAGGGGGGAAUAUUGACGAAUGGGCGCAAGCCUGAUGCAGCGAGGCCGCGUGGCGGAUGACGGUCUUAGGGUUGUAAACUCAUUUCGCUAGGGACGAAGCGUUAUGUGACGGUACCUAGAGAAGAAGCACCGGCUAACUACGUG